GGGGCCUUAGCUCAGCUGGGAGAGCGCCUGCAUGGCAUGCAGGAGGUCAGGAGUUCGAUCCUCCUAGGCUCCA
Molecule: non-coding RNA, 73 nt
Organism: Leisingera methylohalidivorans DSM 14336
Lineage: Bacteria; Pseudomonadati; Pseudomonadota; Alphaproteobacteria; Rhodobacterales; Roseobacteraceae
Source: Rfam